GAUGAAGAACGUAGCGAAAUGCGAUAAGUAAUGUGAAUUGCAGAAUUCAGUGAAUCAUCGAAUCUUUGAACGCACAUUGCGCCCGCCAGUAUUCUGGCGGGCAUGCCUGUUCGAGCGUCAUUACAACCCUCAGGCCCCCGGGCCUGGCGUUGGGGAUCGGCGGAGCCCCCCGUGGGCACACGCCGUCCCCCAAAUGCAGUGGCGGUCCCGCCGCAGAUUCCAUCGCGUAGUAGCUAACACCUCGCGACUGGAGAGCGGCGCGGCCACGCCGUAAAACACCCAACUCUUCUGAAGUUGACCUCGAAUCAGGUAGGAAUACCCGCUGAACUUAAGCAUAUCAAUAAGCGGAGGA
RNAcentral lists this unclassified non-coding RNA (352 nucleotides) under soil metagenome. RNAcentral describes it as "partial contains 5.8S ribosomal RNA, internal transcribed spacer 2, and large subunit ribosomal RNA". The stretch from base 1 to 120 matches the Rfam family "5.8S ribosomal RNA", at positions 35 to 154 of the family's 154-position model. The record is from RNAcentral.